GAUGAAGAACGUAGCGAAAUGCGAUAAGUAAUGUGAAUUGCAGAAUUCAGUGAAUCAUCGAAUCUUUGAACGCACAUUGCGCCCGGUAGUAUUCUGCCGGGCAUGUCUGUUCGAGCGUCAUUUCAACCAUCAAGCCCCAGCGCUUGUGUUGGGGGCCUGCGGCUGCCGCAGCCCCCUAAAAGCAGUGGCGGGCUCGCUAUCACACCGAGUGCAGUAGUUCAUCUUCUCUCCGGUCUUGUGAGGCGGGUUCCGGCCGUGAAACACCCCACUACAUUCAAGGUUGACCUCGGAUCAGGUAGGAAUACCCGCUGAACUUAAGCAUAUCAUAAGCGGAGGA
This 337-nucleotide unclassified non-coding RNA is filed under the name soil metagenome. RNAcentral's name for it is "partial contains 5.8S ribosomal RNA, internal transcribed spacer 2, and large subunit ribosomal RNA". The stretch from base 1 to 120 matches the Rfam family "5.8S ribosomal RNA", at positions 35 to 154 of the family's 154-position model. The record is from RNAcentral.